RNAcentral lists this ribosomal RNA (480 nucleotides) under uncultured bacterium. RNAcentral describes it as "bacterial SSU rRNA". It matches the Rfam family "Bacterial small subunit ribosomal RNA", at positions 28 to 507 of the family's 1533-position model. The record is from RNAcentral.
GACGAACGCUGGCGGCGUGCCUAACACAUGCAAGUCGAGCGGAGUCGAUCGACGGAAGCCUUCGGGCGGAAGAUGGUUGACUUAGCGGCGGAUGGGUGAGUAACGCGUGGGCAACCUGCCUCGAAGACCGGGAUAACAGCCCGAAAGGGCUGCUAAUACCGGAUGUGGUCAAGGAUCCGCAUGGAUUUUUGAUUAAAGGGGAAACCCGUUUCGAGAUGGGCCCGCGUCCUAUCAGCUAGUUGGUGAGGUAAAAGCUCACCAAGGCGACGACGGGUAGCCGGCCUGAGAGGGUGACCGGCCACACUGGAACUGAGACACGGUCCAGACUCCUACGGGGGGCAGCAGUGGGAAUCUUCCACAAUGGGCGAAAGCCUGAUGGAGCGACGCCGCGUGAGCGAAGAAGGCCUUCGGUUGUAAGACUCUGUCUGGAGGACGAAGGAAGUGACGGUACCUCCGGAGGAAGCCACGGCUAACUACGUG